GAAGGGUUGGGGGCGGACCUUGGUGCUGAUCUUCGAGCCUGAAAAGGGGCCCUGCUAGAUCAGAUUAAGGUGCUAGAUGGGCUUGCGGAUGGACCGGGUCUGUCUCCUGACGACUGGAUUAGGAGAUACUCCCUCGAGGUCUCGCUCAUGGACAGUUACAAGAGCGACGAGCUGUUUUGGCAGCGUCGAGGGGGCCAGAACUGGCUCCUUAAGGGGGAUACGAACACUGCCUACUUCUUGGUGAUUGCCAAUAGCCGCAGCCGGAAAUGUGCCAUCCCUUUCCUCUGGGAUGGGGCUAUUCUUCUGGAGAGCCCAGAUGACAUUUCCACCCAUAUUUACUCCUUCUAUAAGGACUUUUUUUGGCUGAGCCGCGUGGAGGUGUAUCCCUCUGCGCUGACUUCUGGCCGCUUGCCGAUCGGGUCUCUGAUGCGGAGAAUGCGGAGCUUACUCUCCCUUUCUCUCCUGAGGAGGUGGGAUGGGUGA
RNAcentral lists this ribosomal RNA (483 nucleotides) under Triticum aestivum (bread wheat). RNAcentral's name for it is "partial small subunit ribosomal RNA". The record is from RNAcentral. Lineage: Eukaryota; Viridiplantae; Streptophyta; Magnoliopsida; Poales; Poaceae.